This 67-nucleotide transfer RNA is filed under the name Dryophytes andersonii (pine barrens treefrog). RNAcentral describes it as "tRNA-Ser". The record is from RNAcentral. Lineage: Eukaryota; Metazoa; Chordata; Amphibia; Anura; Hylidae.
GAGUUUGAUCGGAUAAGCAAGAACUGCUAAUUACUUACUUCUAUGGUUCAAUUCCAUAGCAAACUCG